AUUGAACGCUGGCGGCAUGCUUUACACAUGCAAGUCGAACGGUAACAGGGAGCUUGCUCCGCUGACGAGUGGCGAACGGGUGAGUAAUGCAUCGGAACGUGCCGUGUAAUGGGGGAUAACGUAGCGAAAGUUACGCUAAUACCGCAUACGCCCUGAGGGGGAAAGUGGGGGACCGCAAGGCCUCACGUUAUACGAGCGGCCGAUGUCGGAUUAGCUAGUUGGUGGGGUAAAGGCCUACCAAGGCGACGAUCCGUAGCGGGUCUGAGAGGAUGAUCCGCCACACUGGGACUGAGACACGGCCCAGACUCCUACGGGAGGCAGCAGUGGGGAAUUUUGGACAAUGGGGGCAACCCUGAUCCAGCCAUGCCGCGUGAGUGAAGAAGGCCUCGGUUGUAAAGCGUCUUUACCAGGGAGUGAUAAUAGACAGUAACCUGGAGAAGUAAGACUCCGGCUAACUCCGUGCCA
This 465-nucleotide ribosomal RNA is filed under the name uncultured bacterium. Its description in RNAcentral is "bacterial SSU rRNA". It matches the Rfam family "Bacterial small subunit ribosomal RNA", at positions 30 to 510 of the family's 1533-position model. The record is from RNAcentral.